This 148-nucleotide small RNA is filed under the name Callithrix jacchus (white-tufted-ear marmoset). RNAcentral's name for it is "Metazoan signal recognition particle RNA (ENSCJAG00000081514.1)". The record is from Rfam by way of RNAcentral. Lineage: Eukaryota; Metazoa; Chordata; Mammalia; Primates; Cebidae.
GCUGGGUGUGAUGGCACACACCUGUAAUUCCAGCUACUGGGGAGGCCGAGACAGGGGAAUCGCUUGAACCCAGGAGGCCGAGGUUGCAGUGAGCCAACAUUGCACCACUGCACUCCAGCCUGGGUGACAAAGUGAGACGCUGUCUCAG